This 326-nucleotide ribosomal RNA is filed under the name Pantoea sp. RNAcentral's name for it is "bacterial SSU rRNA". It matches the Rfam family "Bacterial small subunit ribosomal RNA", at positions 1035 to 1361 of the family's 1533-position model. Lineage: Bacteria; Pseudomonadati; Pseudomonadota; Gammaproteobacteria; Enterobacterales; Erwiniaceae. The record is from RNAcentral.
CAGGUGCUGCAUGGCUGUCGUCAGCUCGUGUUGUGAAAUGUUGGGUUAAGUCCCGCAACGAGCGCAACCCUUAUCCUUUGUUGCCAGCGAUUCGGUCGGGAACUCAAAGGAGACUGCCGGUGAUAAACCGGAGGAAGGUGGGGAUGACGUCAAGUCAUCAUGGCCCUUACGAGUAGGGCUACACACGUGCUACAAUGGCGCAUACAAAGAGAAGCGACCUCGCGAGAGCAAGCGGACCUCACAAAGUGCGUCGUAGUCCGGAUCGGAGUCUGCAACUCGACUCCGUGAAGUCGGAAUCGCUAGUAAUCGUGGAUCAGAAUGCCACG